CUGGUUGAUCCUGCCAGUAGCAUAUGCUUGUCUCUGAGACUAAGCCAUGCAUGUCUAAGUAUAAACAAAUCUGUACUGUGAAACUGCGGACGGCUCAUUAAAUCAGUUACAAUCUACUUGAUCGUAUAUUCAUAGAAUUAAUCGGGUAACCCUAGUAAUUCUAGAGCUAAUACGUGCAAAAAACUCUAACCUCUUCUUUCAUUAGGAGGGGAAAGAGUGUAUUUAUUAGGUACAAAACCAAUCAGCCCAAAAGGCUGUUUGAUGAUGAUUCAUAAUAACUUAGCAAAUCGCAGGCCAAUGCUUGUGAUGAUACAAACGAGUUUCUGACCUAUCAACUUUAGAUGGCAGAGUAGGGGUUUGCCAUGGUGACAACGGGUGACGGGGAAUUAGGGUUCGAUUCCGGAGAGGGAGCCUGAGAAACGGCUACCACUUCCAAGGAAGGCAGCAGGCGCGCAUAUUACCCAAUACUAAUUCAGUGAGGUAGUGACAAGAAAUACCAAUGUGCGACCCUACGGGUAGCACGUUUGGAAUGAGUACAAUUUAAAAACCUUAACGAGGACAAUUGGAGGGCAAGUCUGGU
Molecule: ribosomal RNA, 580 nt
Filed under: uncultured eukaryote
Lineage: Eukaryota
Description: bacterial SSU rRNA
Rfam family: Eukaryotic small subunit ribosomal RNA
Source: RNAcentral